GCCUAGCCCUAAAUCCUGAUACUUACCCUACUAAAGUAUCCGCCCGAGAACUACGAGCAUAAACGCUUAAAACUCUAAGGACUUGGCGGUGCCCCAGAUCCCCCUAGAGGAGCCUGUCCUAUAAUCGAUAACCCACGAUAUACCCGACCUCCCCUUGCCAAAACAGCCUACAUACCGCCGUCUCCAGUUCACCUCCCUGAGAGAGCAACAGUGAGCACAAUAGCUUUAUCCCGCUAACAAGACAGGUCAAGGUAUAGCUUAUGAGGAGGAAGAGAUGGGCUACAUUUUCUACAAUAGAAAAUCUCACGAAAGGGGGCUUGCAAGUUCCCCCAGAAGGAGGAUUUAGUAGUAAAGAGAGAUAAUAGAGCCCUCUUUAAACCGGCCCUGAGGCACGU
Molecule: ribosomal RNA, 395 nt
Filed under: unidentified
Description: Anhinga anhinga anhinga partial 12S ribosomal RNA
Rfam family: Bacterial small subunit ribosomal RNA
Source: RNAcentral